UGGUAUUUUUGUGUAUGUCUUCAGUUUCAUUUUUUUUUUCUUUUAAGAUCUGGAUUAACUGCAGAAAGCAUCUUCCAGAAUUGGCUUGACACUUCUGGAAUACCAAAGCCUUUGCUGGAGGAGGGUGAGACGUGGAAGGAGAGUCGGCUCGUCCAGCAAGUGAGCGGAGAGGUUACAAAAUGGAUUCGGACAAACCAGAUGAUGAGAAAAAGUGGCAAAAAGAAAAGAAGGCUGGAUGAAGUUGUUUUCCAAAAGCCAGGUUGUCCAACAUCGAGGUCGACCCAGGCCAUCUCCAUAUCUGAACAGCAUUCUUGAAGCACAGGGUAAUGAUACUUCAGUUUGCCAUAAUUUUAUUUCAGAAAUGAUUGCCAGUAAGUAUAAGAAAUUUGUUAUUCUCCUGUGCUAUAGCUGUGUUUUUG
Molecule: long non-coding RNA, 419 nt
Filed under: Amazona collaria (yellow-billed parrot)
Lineage: Eukaryota; Metazoa; Chordata; Aves; Psittaciformes; Psittacidae
Description: lncRNA (ENSACOG00000013296.1)
Source: RNAcentral